GAUGAACGCUGGCGGCGUGCCUAAUACAUGCCAGUCGAGCGAACGGACGAGAAGCUUGCUUCUCUGAUGUUAGCGGAGGACGGGGGAGUAACACGUGGAUAACCUACAUAUAAGACUGGGAUAACUUCGGGAAACCGUAGCUAAUACCGGAUAAUAUUUUAAACCGCAUGGUUCAAAAGUGAAAGACGGUCUUGCUGUCACUUAUAGAUGGAUCCGCGCUGCAUUAGCUAGUUGGUAAGGUAACGGCUUACCAAGGCAACGAUGCAUAGCCGACCUGAGAGGGUGAUCGGCCACACGGGAACUGAGACACGGUCCAGACUCCUACGGGAGGCAGCAGUAGGGAAUCUUCCGCAAUGGGCGAAAGCCUGACGGAGCAACGCCGCGUGAGUGAUGAAGGUCUUCGGAUCGUAAAACUCUGUUAUUAGGGAAGAACAUAUGUGUAAGUAACUGUGCACAUCUUGACGGUACCUAAUCAGAAAGCCACGGCUAACUACGUG
This 497-nucleotide ribosomal RNA is filed under the name uncultured bacterium. RNAcentral's name for it is "partial 16S ribosomal RNA". It matches the Rfam family "Bacterial small subunit ribosomal RNA", at positions 28 to 507 of the family's 1533-position model. The record is from RNAcentral.